AUUGAACGCUGGCGGCAUGCUUUACACAUGCAAGUCGAACGGCAGCACAGGGAGCUUGCUCCCGGGUGGCGAGUGGCGCACGGGUGAGUAAUACAUCGGAACGUGUCCUGUUGUGGGGGAUAACUGCUCGAAAGGGUGGCUAAUACCGCAUGAGACCUGAGGGUGAAAGCGGGGGAUCGCAAGACCUCGCGCAAUUGGAGCGGCCGAUGCCCGAUUAGCUAGUUGGUGAGGUAACGGCCCACCAAGUCGACGAUCAGUAGGGGUUCUGAGAGGAAGGUCCCCCCANAUUGGAACUGAGACACGGUCCAAACUCCUACGGGAGGCAGCAGUGAGGAAUAUUGGUCAAUGGACGAGAGUCUGAACCAGCCAAGUAGCGUGCAGGAUGACGGCCCUAGUGGGUUGUAAACUGCUUUUAUAAGGGAAUAAAGUGAGUCUCGUGAGUACUUUUUGCAUGUACCUUAUGAAUAAGGACCGGCUAAUUCCGUGCCAGCAC
This 493-nucleotide ribosomal RNA is filed under the name uncultured bacterium. RNAcentral's name for it is "bacterial SSU rRNA". It matches the Rfam family "Bacterial small subunit ribosomal RNA", at positions 30 to 514 of the family's 1533-position model. The record is from RNAcentral.